UGCGUCUUAACUCAAUCGGUAGAGUAAUGCAUCAACGCGACCAUGCCAUUGCUGGUCGUGCUCGGUACCGCAUGAUGUUGAUGCCUAACGAGAGUGCUGGUUCGAGUCCAGCAGCCGCAG
Molecule: transfer RNA, 120 nt
Filed under: Leclercia adecarboxylata
Lineage: Bacteria; Pseudomonadati; Pseudomonadota; Gammaproteobacteria; Enterobacterales; Enterobacteriaceae
Description: tRNA-OTHER
Rfam family: tRNA
About the family: Transfer RNA (tRNA) molecules are approximately 80 nucleotides in length. Their secondary structure includes four short double-helical elements and three loops (D, anti-codon, and T loops). Further hydrogen bonds mediate the characteristic L-shaped molecular structure. tRNAs have two regions of fundamental functional importance: the anti-codon, which is responsible for specific mRNA codon recognition, and the 3' end, to which the tRNAs corresponding amino acid is attached (by aminoacyl-tRNA synthetases). tRNAs cope with the degeneracy of the genetic code in two manners: having more than one tRNA (with a specific anti-codon) for a particular amino acid; and 'wobble' base-pairing, i.e. permitting non-standard base-pairing at the 3rd anti-codon position.
Source: RNAcentral